UGGGGUGUAGCCAAGUGGUAAGGCAUAAGACUUUGACUCUUACAUUCGCAGGUCCGAUCCCUGCCACCCCAACCA
This 75-nucleotide transfer RNA is filed under the name Bacilli bacterium. Its description in RNAcentral is "tRNA-Gln". It matches the Rfam family "tRNA". From Rfam's summary of the family: Transfer RNA (tRNA) molecules are approximately 80 nucleotides in length. Their secondary structure includes four short double-helical elements and three loops (D, anti-codon, and T loops). Further hydrogen bonds mediate the characteristic L-shaped molecular structure. tRNAs have two regions of fundamental functional importance: the anti-codon, which is responsible for specific mRNA codon recognition, and the 3' end, to which the tRNAs corresponding amino acid is attached (by aminoacyl-tRNA synthetases). tRNAs cope with the degeneracy of the genetic code in two manners: having more than one tRNA (with a specific anti-codon) for a particular amino acid; and 'wobble' base-pairing, i.e. permitting non-standard base-pairing at the 3rd anti-codon position. Lineage: Bacteria; Bacillati; Bacillota; Bacilli. RNAcentral also lists the same sequence under 1 other name. The record is from RNAcentral.